UUGUAAUGAUGUUGAUCAAAUGUCUGACCUGAAAUGAGCAUGUAGAUAUAUUUAAUACUGAAGAA
Nycticebus coucang (slow loris) is the source of this 65-nucleotide small nucleolar RNA. Lineage: Eukaryota; Metazoa; Chordata; Mammalia; Primates; Lorisidae. The record is from RefSeq and is a predicted model, not a curated record.